GUGAGGAAUAUUGGACAAUGGGCGCAAGCCUGAUCCAGCCAUGUCGCGAGCAGGAAGACGCAUCUAUGGUGUGUAAACUGCUUUUGUACGGGAAGAAACACUCCCUCGUGAGGGAGCUUGACGGUACCGUAAGAAUAAGGAUCGGCUAACUCCGUGCCAGCAGCCGCGGUAAUACGGAGGAUCCAAGCGUUAUCCGGAAUCAUUGGGUUUAAAGGGUCCGUAGGCGGGUUAAUAAGUAAGUGGUGAAAGCCCAUCGCUCAACGAUGGAACGGCCAUUGAUACUGUUAGACUUGAAUUACAAGGAAGUAACUAGAAUAUGUAGUGUAGCGGUGAAAUGCUUAGAUAUUACAUGGAAUACCAAUUGCGAAGGCAGGUUACUACUUGUGGAUUGACGCUGAUGGACGAAAGCGUGGGGAGCGAACAGGAUUAGAUACCCCUGUAGUCC
This 445-nucleotide ribosomal RNA is filed under the name uncultured bacterium. RNAcentral describes it as "partial 16S ribosomal RNA". It matches the Rfam family "Bacterial small subunit ribosomal RNA", at positions 354 to 796 of the family's 1533-position model. The record is from RNAcentral.